Molecule: ribosomal RNA, 373 nt
Filed under: uncultured bacterium
Lineage: Bacteria
Description: bacterial SSU rRNA
Rfam family: Bacterial small subunit ribosomal RNA
Source: RNAcentral
AACGAACGCUGGCGGCAUGCCUAACACAUGCAAGUCGAACGAGACCUUCGGGUCUAGUGGCGCACGGGUGCGUAACGCGUGGGAAUCUGCCCUUAGGUACGGAAUAACUCAGGGAAACUUGAGCUAAUACCGUAUAAUGACUCCGGUCCAAAGAUUUAUCGCCUAGGGAUGAGCCCGCGUCGGAUUAGCUAGUUGGUGAGGUAAAAGCUCACCAAGGCGACGAUCCGUAGCUGGCUGAGAGGAUGAUCAGCCACACUGGGACUGAGACACGGCCCAGACUCCUACGGGAGGCAGCAGUGGGGAAUAUUGGACAAUGGGCGAAAGCCUGAUCCAGCAAUGCCGCGUGAGUGAUGAAGGCCUUAGGGUUGUAAAG